UGGGGGAUAUUGCACAAUGGGCGAAAGCCUGAUGCAGCGACGCCCGUGGGGGAUGAAGGCCUUCGGGUUGUAAACUUCUUUUGCUCUGAACAAGGCAUGCUAAUGGGUGUGUUGAGUGUAGGGGUUGAUUAGCGCCGGCUAACUACGUGCCAGCAGCCGCGGUAAUACGUAGGGCGCGAGCGUUGUCCGGAAUUAUUGGGCGUAAAGGGCUUGUAGGUGGCUGGUUGCGUCUGUCGUGAAAGCUCAUGGCUUAACUGUGGGGUUGCGGUGGGUACGGGCUGGCUUGAGUGCAGUAGGGGAGGCUGGAAUUCCUGGUGUAGCGGUGGAAUGCGCAGAUAUCAGGAGGAAUACCGGUGGCGAAGGCGGGUCUCUGGGCUGUUACUGACACUGAGGAGCGAAAGCAUGGGGAGCGAACAGG
RNAcentral lists this ribosomal RNA (418 nucleotides) under bacterium. RNAcentral's name for it is "partial 16S ribosomal RNA". It matches the Rfam family "Bacterial small subunit ribosomal RNA", at positions 355 to 776 of the family's 1533-position model. The record is from RNAcentral.